RNAcentral lists this ribosomal RNA (251 nucleotides) under uncultured prokaryote. RNAcentral's name for it is "partial 16S rRNA". It matches the Rfam family "Bacterial small subunit ribosomal RNA", at positions 525 to 775 of the family's 1533-position model. The record is from RNAcentral.
ACGUAGGUGGCAAGCGUUGUCCGGAUUUAUUGGGCGUAAAGCGAGCGCAGGCGGUUUCUUAAGUCUGAUGUGAAAGCCUUCGGCUCAACCGAAGAAGUGCAUCGGAAACUGGGAAACUUGAGUGCAGAAGAGGACAGUGGAACUCCAUGUGUAGCGGUGAAAUGCGUAGAUAUUGGGAGGAACACCAGUGGCGAAGGCGGCCUGCUGGACUGUAACUGACACUGAGGCGCGAAAGCCAGGGGAGCAAACGG